CCUACGGGAGGCAGCAGUGGGGAAUAUUGGACAAUGGGCGCAAGCCUGAUCCAGCCAUGCCGCGUGAGUGAUGAAGGCCCUAGGGUUGUAAAGCUCUUUCACCGGAGAAGAUAAUGACGGUAUCCGGAGAAGAAGCCCCGGCUAACUUCGUGCCAGCAGCCGCGGUAAUACU
RNAcentral lists this ribosomal RNA (172 nucleotides) under uncultured bacterium. RNAcentral's name for it is "partial 16S ribosomal RNA". It matches the Rfam family "Bacterial small subunit ribosomal RNA", at positions 338 to 527 of the family's 1533-position model. The record is from RNAcentral.